Molecule: long non-coding RNA, 396 nt
Filed under: Daucus carota (carrot)
Lineage: Eukaryota; Viridiplantae; Streptophyta; Magnoliopsida; Apiales; Apiaceae
Description: long non-coding RNA (DCAR_LNC001887)
Source: RNAcentral
UGAUUCUUUUAUCGAUUUUAAUUCCGAAAAAUGUUUAAAAAUUCCAGAAAAUUCCCGAAAAAUCAUUUUUAACCCAAGAGUUGAUUUGAUAUCAAUCGGGGUGGGAAACCUUAUGUGUAAUGUGUUGUCUGCUAUCUGUUUGAUGUGUUAUGUGCCGAUAGAGGAGUUAGAAAACGGUUUUGACCAUAUCUUUGGAUCCGUAAGUCGGAAUCAAGUGAAACGAAAGAGAGACAGAAGCUUAUAACGUUUAUUUUAAUAUGAUGUGAUUAUAUGGCUGAGUCUAUAAGGUGAAUAAUUGUUGAUAAGUAUGCAUAAUGUGAUAAUAUGUGAUCUAAGUGUUAUCAGGUGAUGAUUAUGUGAAGUACGUGUUAGUUUUGAUAUUGUGAAGUGAUAAAU